This 375-nucleotide unclassified non-coding RNA is filed under the name Hevea brasiliensis (rubber tree). The record is from RNAcentral. Lineage: Eukaryota; Viridiplantae; Streptophyta; Magnoliopsida; Malpighiales; Euphorbiaceae.
ACAUUCUCGUCAAGGGGAGCGCCCGUUUCCAUUUAGUGUGGAUAAGGGUUUUGCUCGAUCGCACAGAAUGCAGCGGAAGCAUUAUAGGGGACUGUCAAAUCCUCAGUGUGUGCAUGGAAUUGAAGUUGUUCCCUCACCCAAUCUCAUGGGUUUUGAUGAGGAUGAUAAGAAAAGAUGGAUGGAACUCACAGGCAGGGAUUUGAACUUCACAAUCUUACCUGAAGCCAGUGAUUUCAGUUCUUGGAGAAACCUUCCGAACACAGAUUUCGAGCUUGAGAGGCCACCUCCUCCUAUAAAGAGUGCCUCUAAUUCUCACUCAAACAAGCUGCUCAAUGGGUCUGGGCUCAAUUUGUCAACUCAGCCAUCCAGCCAUAG